UUUAGAGAAUAGAAACCAGACCCAACAAUUACUGCCUAUUGUAUCUCAGGUUUUCAGAACCUGAAUGAUACUUUUUCUAAUAGCAGAGAAUAAACACAGUCAAGGAAAAAGCUGGAGGCUGGCAAGAUACCCAGCAACUGAUGGCCGGGAGAUAAGCCCAGUGAAUGGGUUCUGGAGGCUGGGAAGUCCAAGAGCAAGGUGCCAGUGGAUCUGGUCUACUUUCCCUGAUCGUUGGUUAAACUGUCAACGGUGGAAGGCUAAGACAUACAAUGACAAUACACAAUGAAGACCUCUCCCCCGGGAGCAUGAAUAGGAAGUUCUGUCUCAAGUCUGUGGAACUAUGUGGUAGUCAUAAAACUGAUUUUCAUCACAGUUAAAGGAGAUGGACAUUGAUACUCUUGGCUUCCACUUAAGAAACCUCUCAUAGUGGUUUCGGAGUCUUUCCCAGCCUUGCUGAAGACAAUGAGCAAACAGGAAAAUGGAAUCUGAAGGCAGUCAACUUAUUUCUGGAGCCAACAGCCCUUAUGUUUGUUCUACUUAAAUUUCCACGUCCACUUGACCCGAAUGUACUACCUUGAGACUCCUCCAUGCAAAAGAUUUGGAUGCUGCCAUGUACCCAGUAAACAUACAAGAGUGCCACCAA
Callorhinus ursinus (northern fur seal) is the source of this 643-nucleotide long non-coding RNA. RefSeq lists it as uncharacterized. NCBI's taxonomy places the organism in Eukaryota, Metazoa, Chordata, Mammalia, Carnivora, Otariidae. The record is from RefSeq and is a predicted model, not a curated record.